RNAcentral lists this ribosomal RNA (252 nucleotides) under uncultured Streptococcus sp. RNAcentral describes it as "partial 16S ribosomal RNA". It matches the Rfam family "Bacterial small subunit ribosomal RNA", at positions 1134 to 1382 of the family's 1533-position model. The record is from RNAcentral. Lineage: Bacteria; Bacillati; Bacillota; Bacilli; Lactobacillales; Streptococcaceae.
CACUCUAGCGAGGGCCUGCCCGGGUAAUAAACCGGGAGGAAGGUGGGGAUGACGUCAAAUCAUCAUGCCCCUUAUGACCUGGGCUACACACGUGCUACAAUGGUUGGUACAACGAGUUGCGAGUCGGUGACGGCGAGCUAAUCUCUUAAAGCCAAUCUCAGUUCGGAUUGUAGGCUGCAACUCGCCUACAUGAAGUCGGAAUCGCUAGUAAUCGCGGAUCAGCACGCCGCGGUGAAUACGUUCCCGGGCCUU